Molecule: long non-coding RNA, 205 nt
Filed under: Hordeum vulgare
Lineage: Eukaryota; Viridiplantae; Streptophyta; Magnoliopsida; Poales; Poaceae
Description: long non-coding RNA (HVUL_LNC010768)
Source: RNAcentral
GGAAAUUGCUUUUGGCUCCCGAGCUCCAUGGAGGCCUUUAAAUUUGAAACUCAAAUUUCAUGAAAAUUCGUAUUUUUAUAUUUCAAAAAAUUCUGAAAAAAAUACAGGGAUAAGUGAAGGCGUAACACACAUGUGUGUAAAUUUUCAGAAAAAAAUACAUUGAAAUGAGGGCUGUGCAAAAAAGACAAAUCUGAGGCUUUUUUAC